RNAcentral lists this ribosomal RNA (305 nucleotides) under uncultured bacterium. Its description in RNAcentral is "bacterial SSU rRNA". It matches the Rfam family "Bacterial small subunit ribosomal RNA", at positions 333 to 629 of the family's 1533-position model. The record is from RNAcentral.
UGGCUCCUACGGGACGCAGCAGUGGGGAAUAUUGGGCAAUGGGGGGAACCCUGACCCAGCGACGCCGCGUGAGUGAAGAAGGCCUUCGGGUUGUAAAACUCUGUCCUUAUCGAAGAGAGGUGGGUAUGUGAAUAAUGUACUCAUAGGACGGUAGAUAAGGAGGAAGCCCCGGCUAACUACGUGCCAGCAGCCGCGGUAAUACGUAGGGGGCGAGCGUUGUCCGGAAUCACUGGGCGUAAAGGGCGCGUAGGCGGUUUAAUAAGUCAGUGGUGAAAACUGAGGGCUCAACCCUCAGCCUGCCACUG